GGAAACAGAUAUGGAAUGCCAAAGUGCUCAAAGAGGAUGCGUUGUCCAUAAAGGAGAUGCUGAUGCUGCUGUGAGAAACGCCGGGGCUCCUCGAGAAUGUGCUGCUGAAAGUUGGUCUGCUGCAUAGAAAGUGCCCUCACCUCAUCCAUAAGCUGCUGAAGAGUAACCUCUUCAAAGGCAGGAGGCUCUGGAGGUGGUAGAGCAGAUGCAGAGGCAUCAAGAUCAUAUGCAGACACUGGAGGGUCCUGACACCUACACUAACCCCGAAAAGGAAGCAAA
RNAcentral lists this long non-coding RNA (279 nucleotides) under Citrus sinensis (sweet orange). RNAcentral's name for it is "long non-coding RNA (CSIN_LNC003168)". The record is from RNAcentral. Lineage: Eukaryota; Viridiplantae; Streptophyta; Magnoliopsida; Sapindales; Rutaceae.